Molecule: ribosomal RNA, 490 nt
Filed under: uncultured bacterium
Lineage: Bacteria
Description: partial 16S ribosomal RNA
Rfam family: Bacterial small subunit ribosomal RNA
Source: RNAcentral
AUUGAACGCUGGCGGCAGGCCUAACACAUGCAAGUCGAACGGUAACAGGAAGCAGCUUGCUGCUUUGCUGACGAGUGGCGGACGUGUGAGUAAUGUCUGGGAAACUGCCUGAUGGAGGGGGAUAACUACUGGAAACGGUAGCUAAUACCGCAUAACGUCGCAAGACCAAAGAGGGGGACCUUAGGGCCUCUUGCCAUCGGCUGUGCCCAGAUGGGAUUAGCUAGUAGGUGGGGUAACGGCUCACCUAGGCGACGAUCCCUAGCUGGUCUGAGAGGAUGACCAGCCACACUGGAACUGAGACACGGUCCAGACUCCUACGGGAGGCAGCAGUGGGGAAUAUUGCACAAUGGGCGCAAGCCUGAUGCAGCCAUGCCGCGUGUAUGAAGAAGGCCUUCGGGUUGUAAAGUACUUUAAGCGGGGAGGAAGGGAGUAAAGUUAAUACCUUUGCUCAUUGACGUUACCCGCAGAAGAAGCACCGGCUAACUCCGUG